This 409-nucleotide ribosomal RNA is filed under the name uncultured Planctomycetaceae bacterium. Its description in RNAcentral is "bacterial SSU rRNA". It matches the Rfam family "Bacterial small subunit ribosomal RNA", at positions 353 to 772 of the family's 1533-position model. The record is from RNAcentral. Lineage: Bacteria; Pseudomonadati; Planctomycetota; Planctomycetia; Planctomycetales; Planctomycetaceae.
AGUCGAGGAUCUUCGGCAAUGGGCGCAAGCCUGACCGAGCGACGCCGCGUGAGCGAUGAAGGCCUUCGGGUCGUAAAGCUCUGUCGGGGGGGAGAAAGGGGCAACCUUGAUCGACCCCCGGAGGAAGCACGGGCUAAGUUCGUGCCAGCAGCCGCGGUAAGACGAACCGUGCGAACGUUAUUCGGAAUCACUGGGCUUAAAGGGCGCGUAGGCGGGCUAUCAAGUCAGGGGUGAAAUCCCACGGCCCAACCGUGGAAGUGCCUUUGAUACUGAUGGCCUCGAGGGGGAUAGGGGCGUGCGGAACUCAGGGUGGAGCGGUGAAAUGCGUAGAUAUCCUGAGGAACACCGGUGGCGAAAGCGGCGCGCUGGAUCCCUUCUGACGCUGAGGCGCGAAAGCCAGGGGAGCAAA